RNAcentral lists this ribosomal RNA (497 nucleotides) under uncultured bacterium. RNAcentral's name for it is "partial 16S ribosomal RNA". It matches the Rfam family "Bacterial small subunit ribosomal RNA", at positions 28 to 523 of the family's 1533-position model. The record is from RNAcentral.
GAUGAACGCUGGCGGCGUGCUUAACACAUGCAAGUCGAACGAAGCACCUUAUUCUGAUUUCUUCGGAAUGAAAAAUAUGGUGACUGAGUGGCGGACGGGUGAGCAACGCGUGGGUAACCUGCCUCAUACAGGGGGAUAACAGUUAGAAAUGACUGCUAAUACCGCAUAAGACCCCAGCACCGCUCGGUGCAGGGGUAACAACUCCGUUGGUAAGAGAUGGACCCGCGUCUGAUUAGGUAGUUGGUGGGGUAACAGCCUACCAAGCCGACGAUCAGUAGCCGACCUGAGAGGGUGACCGGCCACAUUGGGACUGAGACACGGCCCAAACUCCUACGGGAGGCAGCAGUGGGGAAUAUUGCACAAUGGGGGAAACCCUGAUGCAGCGACGCCGCGUGAGCGAUGAAGUAUUUCGGUAUGUAAAGCUCUAUCAGCAGGGAAGAAAAUGACAGUACCUGACUAAGAAGCACCGGCUAAAUACGUGCCAGCCGCCGCAGUAA